CUCAUCUCUGAUGAUGACCAUCCAUCCCCUUCUGUAUGCUUAGUGUUUUCAUUAAGCCUUCUUCCAUCAUCUAAUCACGGAAUCAAUCAAUCGAAAUUAUCAACCUUUCGAGUUCGUUGCGAAGCGAACCCAGAAUCCUCCGAACCCCAUGUGAAAGUUUCGAUUUUGUUAUAUGGGUCGAUGGUGAAUUUAGCUAAAGAGUCGCUGCUGCUUCUGUAAUCGCCACUUUGGCCUUGUUUCGUUCUUCUAUGCAGAUUGGUGUGAGGUUUGUCGAGAACUAGCCCCUGCUGAUGUUUACAAAAAUCGAGCAGCAAUACAAGGACAAAGUGAACUUUGUGAUGCUAAAUGUGGACAACACGAAAUGGGAGCAACUAUAUAAAGGCACUGUGUAUGGCAGCAUUCUAUGCGCGCUCUGAAGAGGCUCGCCAAAGAGCAUUCAGUUCACAAUCUUGCAUUGAAAUUACGGUUGCUGUAGGGUGCACUUGCGCUGGAAGAUACACUCUCCAAAGGGUUGCCAAUCCAAAAAGAGAUAGAUAUCAUUAGCACAUAUAGCAUCGUGGCUCAAGUUCAAGGAAGUGGACCAAUCUAACGGAGUCAUCGAGUCCGUAAUUACAAAGGUCGAUAAUUGUUUGGCCGAGGGAAAACUAGCAGAAGCAGCUGCUGCACUUGAAGAAGGUGUUAAAGGAAGUAAAGCAGAGGAAAUAGUGAAUGAAUGGGUGAGACGUGCGCUAGUCUCACUUGAUGCAACUUGCUGUAACUCUUCUCCAAUCUUAUGCAACUUGCGCUAGUCUCACUUGAUCAUUGAUCUUGGUCAGAGGAAGAAUCAACACCACCUAGUCUCAAUUGCUGCGUCUCUUUCUCACCCCAACACGCUGAUAGUAUUGCUUUUUAAUAAAUUUGUGUGUUUUUAUGAUGUGUAAGAGCUUGUUGACAAACAAAACUAAACUCUUGGGAUUUUUCUUUAUCAAUAUUUAUGCACCAAGCUUGUUUUUGUUAUC
Raphanus sativus (radish) is the source of this 998-nucleotide long non-coding RNA. RefSeq lists it as uncharacterized. Lineage: Eukaryota; Viridiplantae; Streptophyta; Magnoliopsida; Brassicales; Brassicaceae. The record is from RefSeq and is a predicted model, not a curated record. The transcript is spliced from 5 exons.